This is a long non-coding RNA of Vicia villosa (hairy vetch), 3024 nucleotides long. RefSeq lists it as uncharacterized. NCBI's taxonomy places the organism in Eukaryota, Viridiplantae, Streptophyta, Magnoliopsida, Fabales, Fabaceae. The record is from RefSeq and is a predicted model, not a curated record. The transcript has 7 exons.
GAGAGAGAGGGAGGGACAGAUUUUGUUAAGCACAUUUCUAAUUUAUUGAUUGAUUAAAUAAUAUGCUUUAAGAAGUUGCUGACAUGUUUCUUUUCAUUGUUGAAUGUAGCUUGAGAUUCAACUUUUGCAAACAUUUGUGUUGGGGCAAGGCAUUUCCAACGUAGACUUAGGGUUUGAAGAUUUUGAUUUUUUAAUUACUGAUUCAUAAUGGAUGUUACUUUUUGUGAUGUGUUAGUUCAAUUUUCAUGUGGGUACUGAACAAAACUUUAUUUCUUAUUGGAAUUUUAGGGUUUUUUCAUGUUAUUUGAUUAAUGUUUUAUCUUUAUUUUAAAAGGUUUCAUAUAUUUUAAUGUAGGGUCUUCAUAUCUACAACUCAAAGCAAGUAAGAGUCAAAGGAAUAGUAUGGAUCAUUGAAAAGGGGAGCUUGAAUUCAGUUUGCUUUAUAAACUUGAGAGAUUUUUUGCUUUUCCAAUUUAAUCAUGUCUAGGACCACCUUCAAGACUCAGCAACCUUUCGAAAGAAGGCAGGCUGAAUCUACUCGCAUUAUAGACAAGUAUCCUGAUAGAGUACCUGUAAGAUUGUUUUCAGUAUGCAUACAUUGUAUAUGUGUUUAUUUUUUUCCUAACAUUGGUAAAAAGAAGUGAUUAGCUGACAUGUUACUAUGUCUGUUUUAGUUACUUCUGUGGUUAUAGGAUGCUAUUUUGCUGCCUAUUUUUUUGGUGGGCCUUGAUGCUUUUGUGAAGAUUUUGGAUGCUUUUGUGAAGAUUUUGGAUGCUCUCAAUUUUGUAUUGUUAGUAAUACACAUGUUUUUUAUUACUAAUAUAAAACCAAUGUGUUUAAUGAUUUGAGUAAGUUUUGAAUAUGAGGAAUUCUUCAGAUUUGUCUAUCUUGAUAGUAAGCUUACCUCCAAACAAAUAUCUGGUUUAAUAUUUUUCUCAGUAUAUCUCUUGAACAUUGAAGUAUAUCAGCUAUAGAGAUAAUAAAUAUUGGAAAUUAAAAGAUAAUCAACUAAUAUCUUAUCUUGAUCUUUGCACAUUUUCAUGUUUAGUCGAUUAUUAAUUUUUUUUAUGUUGUCUGCAAAAUGAUUAAGCUUAGUGCAUAAGGCUAUUUUUGUUAUCAUCGACAACACCCUACCGCCAACUGCUACUUUGAUGUCUGCUUUUUAUGAAGAAAAUAAGGAUGAGGAUGGCUUUCUUUACAUGACUUACAGCGGAGAGAAUACCUUUGGAUCCCAGUAGGAAUAAUUUGAGACCAACUUAAUGUAAAUAGCUUCCAUCUUAUCUGAGGUAGACUGGUGGCGUGGCUAUGACAACUGGUUUAUUUCCUGCAGUUGAAGAAAGGUUUGUUUCAGUUUCCAUCGAGCUAUUGGUAUAUUUACAUAGCAUCAUUAGUUAUUUUGCAGAUUAGUUUGUUCACUUAAAGAUGAUUGACGAGUCCCUCUAUCUUUUUACACCACAGGGUUUUACAUGAUAUUCCUCCAAAUGAAAAAAAUUGAUACAGUUAUCUAAUGGACAAAACCAUUGUCAGGCACUGUCUAAUAUUGUUGUGCUUUCUUAUCUUAUUGGUUAUCUAAUGGAACUUGAACAAAAGCUUGGCAAUCCCGAAAGAAAACCAUGUGAAACUGUAGUUGUAGGAUAUCAACAAGAUAGAAAGUUGUUUUGUUUGACACACAUAUUUACAACUAUUUUAAACCAAUUUUAUUUUAUUAUUGAGAUUUCGUGCAAGUCAUCCACUUACAAUUUCGCAGCCAAUGAGUUGAAUAGCAUAAUUUUGUAUGGUUCUUUUGAUUUACAGUUUAUUUUUGUAGCACUAAAGGAAGGCAUGUUCAACAAUGCAAAUGUUCUUUUCUCUUUUCAUUCAACAUUCAGAUGAUUUCAGUAUUACUUAAGUUUUUUUAAUGUCAGGUAGAUCGUGCAAUGUUUCUGAAGUAUUGGUAGACAUGAUUGAUACAGUCAGACCUCUUGCUAUGAAUAAAAAAGGUGUAAUAGAACUAACUAAGCUUUCACCACCUUUGCUAGCUGCUGUAGCAGAACCUGAAUUGCACCAUGCUUUCAGCAAUCUUAUUGAAGGUGCUUUACUGCAUACACAUGUUGGAGAAAAGGUUGCAAUUUUGUCUAAUUCUACAUCAGCUGGCGAUACAGUCGUAGGUGGAGGAGCUAGGUUGAUUGUAGCAAAGAUAGUUUGGCUCUCCAUAGUGUUUGUAUCUCUGAUUUGAUUCAGUAGCUUGCUAUCAUUAGAGUUAAUAGUUAUUAUAAUCGCUUUAAAUUCUUGCAAUAAAAACUGUUUUUCAUGAGUACCUAUUUAAUUUGAAUAAUUCUUCAUUUCUUUGAUUAUAGGAAUGAAUUAGAUUAGCUAUUACAUAGGAAUUUGUGUUUCAAAAUAUGUCCAGUUGCAUUUCCAAUGUAAUAAAAAUAUAUGCAUGUUGUGGUAUUUAGGUAUACAGUAUAUUUGAAAAAAUGUCCAGAACAUGAAGGAAACUAUGCGCAAAUUUCAAGCCUUCUUAGCAAACUUUGAGGAGUAAUGCUUGUGGAAUUAAAUAGAAAAUAUUUCCUUCCACUGACUCUAGAAAUGAGUCAUGGUGAAUCCUAAAUCUAAUGUGUGGUCCCUUUAAAAGAAGGCUUAAGUCUCAUCCCCCUGCACAAGCUCUAAAAUAUUUUCCUUCUGACGCAAUCGUUUUAUCCCCAUAAUUUUCUGAAUGGCUUACGUUUCCUGAUUAGUAUGGAACAGAGUUGGGCUCAAACUUUUUACUUGCAACACAAUGUGAGUGGAAAUGUCAUUGCAGCCCCUUGCAUAUUAGAAAUGUGGCUGUAUGAGAUAGCGUGGUUUGGCCUGAGGAAGUCACUUAUCGAAUGUGGUGUCCAAUUUCAUCAAAACAAGGAACUUAAUUCUAUACAUGAAGCUAGAGAAGUCUCAACUAUUGAUUUGCAUGAAGAAUUGAAAAUGGAUGAGAUGCAAAGAAAUAUCACAACUCUGAUAAUAUUAUUCAUGUAGCGGGAUAAUAUUGGUUUAAUAUGUUUAAUUAUU